GGGCGUGUGGUUCAUUGGUAGAGCGUCUCGUUACUCUGGGAAGCGGCCUCCGGCCCUGCCUAUUCAUCCAUCGGAGUUCUGGGUAACGAGGAGGAGCGGGUUCAAUUCCCGUCUCGUCCA
Molecule: transfer RNA, 120 nt
Filed under: Colletotrichum fioriniae PJ7
Lineage: Eukaryota; Fungi; Ascomycota; Sordariomycetes; Glomerellales; Glomerellaceae
Rfam family: tRNA
About the family: Transfer RNA (tRNA) molecules are approximately 80 nucleotides in length. Their secondary structure includes four short double-helical elements and three loops (D, anti-codon, and T loops).
Source: Rfam by way of RNAcentral